RNAcentral lists this ribosomal RNA (790 nucleotides) under uncultured bacterium. RNAcentral's name for it is "bacterial SSU rRNA". It matches the Rfam family "Bacterial small subunit ribosomal RNA", at positions 10 to 784 of the family's 1533-position model. The record is from RNAcentral.
AAGUUGAUCAUGGCUCAGAAUCACGCUGGCGGCGUGCCUAACACAUGCAAGUCGAACGCGACUGAGGGCUUCGGUUCUUGGUUGAGUGGCGAACGGGUGAGUAACACGUGGGUGAUCUACCUUCGAGCGGGGGAUAACGUUCCGAAAGGAACGCUAAUACCGCAUGACGUCCUGGGUUUAAAGACCUGGAGACCAAAGCUAGGGACCGCAAGGCCUGGCACUUGAAGAGGAGCCCGCGUCCGAUUAGCUAGUUGGCGGGGUAACGGCCCACCAAGCGACGAUCGGUAGCCGGCCUGAGAGGGCGGACGGCCACACUGGGACUGAGACACGGCCCAGACUCCUACGGGAGGCAGCAGUGGGGAAUUGUUCACAAUGGGCGCAAGCCUGAUGACGCAACGCCGCGUGGGGGAUGAAGGUCUUCGGAUCGUAAACCCCUGUCGAAUGGGACGAAUAGCUCGCGAAUUAAUACCUCGUGGGAAUGACGGUACCGUUAAAGGAAGCCACGGCUAACUCUGUGCCAGCAGCCGCGGUAAUACAGAGGUGGCAAGCGUUGUUCGGAAUUACUGGGCGUAAAGGGCGCGUAGGCGGCCAUCUAAGUCAGACGUGAAAUCCCCCGGCUCAACCUGGGAACUGCGUCUGAUACUGGGAGGCUAGAGUUUGGGAGAGGGAUGUAGAAUUCCAGGUGUAGCGGUGAAAUGCGUAGAUAUCUGGAGGAAUACCGGUGGCGAGGCGGCAUCCUGGACCAUACUGACGCUGAGGCGCGAAGCUAGGGGAGCAAACGGGAUAGAUA